This 330-nucleotide ribosomal RNA is filed under the name uncultured bacterium. RNAcentral describes it as "bacterial SSU rRNA". It matches the Rfam family "Bacterial small subunit ribosomal RNA", at positions 28 to 346 of the family's 1533-position model. The record is from RNAcentral.
GAUGAACGCUAGCUACAGGCUUAACACAUGCAAGUCGAGGGGAAACGAUAUUGGAAGCUUGCUUCUGAUAGGCGUCGACCGGCGCACGGGUGAGUAACGCGUAUCCAACCUGCCCAUCACUUGGGGAUAACCUUGUGAAAGUAAGACUAAUACCCAAUGACGUCUCUAGAAGACAUCUGAAAGAGAUUAAAGAUUUAUCGGUGAUGGAUGGGGAUGCGUCUGAUUAGCUUGUUGGCGGGGUAACGGCCCACCAAGGCGACGAUCAGUAGGGGUUACUGAGAGGAAGGUCCCCCACAUUGGAACUGAGACACGGUCCAAACUCCUACGGGA